RNAcentral lists this ribosomal RNA (253 nucleotides) under uncultured bacterium. RNAcentral's name for it is "partial 16S ribosomal RNA". It matches the Rfam family "Bacterial small subunit ribosomal RNA", at positions 524 to 776 of the family's 1533-position model. The record is from RNAcentral.
UACGUAGGUGGCAAGCGUUAUCCGGAUUUAUUGGGCGUAAAGGGAACGCAGGCGGUCUUUUAAGUCUGAUGUGAAAGCCUUCGGCUUAACCGGAGUAGUGCAUUGGAAACUGGGAGGCUUGAGUGCAGAAGAGGAGAGUGGAACUCCAUGUGUAGCGGUGAAAUGCGUAGAUAUAUGGAAGAACACCAGUGGCGAAAGCGGCUCUCUGGUCUGUAACUGACGCUGAGGUUCGAAAGCGUGGGUAGCAAACAGG